AUCUAGAACGUCAAAUGAGGAGAUUGAAUAACGUUACUCGGUGUCGUUACUAUAAUAUGUACAAUAUCCAUUCUCCACAACUAUGUAUAUAUCUUCGCAUAUUGUUUUCAGUCUAAUCCAGACAGUGCUCAGCUACUGAAUAGUGACAUCACUGUGUUGGAUUAGACAAGCUGCUGCAAAUAAGUGCGUUAACACAAAUGUGUUGCCUGUUAAAUACAUAUGACAUGUGACACGCCAUUCGCAAAUGUCUUCUCCUAUAUCAAUUAAAUCUAUUGAGUAUUCCGCUAAUUAUCAACGUUUUGACGAUGAUGCGAAUAUAUCACUUGAACCAGAUAUUUCGCAUCGCCCAUGUCCAAGAUAUGGAUCUAUAUUAUCAUCUUCUUCUGCAGAAAAUCACAUGAAUUCUUCUGUGGAGAAUUCAAGAACACCAGAACAAUUUAUUCAGAAAUUUGAUACAGCCGAGGUAGACAGAGAAAAUAUGUCUGAAAAUGCAGUUCUUCCUGCGCAUGAUUCACUUUCAGAUCAUGAUUUACAUUGGGAAAUGAAUUAUCAUGAAGCUGCAAUAUUUUUAGAGGAAGGUAGGAACAAUGAAAAGUUUGACUCUCAUCCAAAGCACCCAGAAGAUUUACCAGCGUAUCUUUUAGUUCAUAAUAAUUGGUAUUAUGGGUUAGAUUUAUUGACCUCUCUUGUACUUCUGGCUUUAGCUUUUGUGGAAGAGCCAGCUGUACCUUUGUUUGGUAUGCCAGUUUGGGCACACGGAUCAAUAGAGCUUUUUGCUUUGAUAAUAAUAGGCAUAGAAUUAGCUUUAAAAUUAAGAUGGAUUGGCUGGUUAACUAUGUUAAAACAUAAACGAACAAUGUUAAAGUGCAUUACAUUAGUCAUCAUGUUUUUGGAAGCUAUGACAGUUUUAGUGCGGCAGUCAUCGCAUUUUCGUGUAACACGUGCUCUGAGGCCUAUAUUUUUAGUAGAUACAAAAUGUUUUGGAGGAGUAAGAAGAUUUAUAAGACAAAUACUUUUAACGUUACCACCGAUUUUAGAUAUGUUAGGGCUGCUUUUAUUUUUUGUUACGCUUUACACAGUCUUGGGUUAUUAUAUGUUCAGUGAAAUGAACAGAAAUUUUUCUACUCUGCAAGACAGUUUUGUGAGCCUAUUUGUCCUUCUCACUACUGCUAAUUUUCCAGAUGUAAUGAUGCCAUCAUAUUCAAAAAAUAAGUGGUAUGCAAUAUAUUUUGUAUCUUACUUAUCCACAAUGUUAUACGUGAUGAUGAAUUUAAUGUUGGCAGUAGUUAACGAAACAUUUACAGCAGCUGAGCGUGAUAAAUUUAAAAAAUUGUUUUUACAUAAAAGAAAAGCAUGUCAGCAUGCAUUUAAGUUGUUAGUUUCCAAACAGAAUCCAGAUAAAAUGCGAUUUCGUCAAUUCGAAGGAUUAAUGCGAUAUUAUGCUCCAACUAGAAGUAUUAGAGAUGUUGUUCUAAUGUUUCGCUACUUAAAUACUUCUGGAAGUGGAGUUUUAAGUGCAGAAGAAUUUUUGAAUAUUUAUGAUACUAUAAUGCUUCAGUGGGAACCGCAGUACUCUGCUGUGCCUUGGUAUCACAGUACGUCACAGCCAUUGCAGAUUCUCUGUACAGGAGCUCAUGCUGCUAUUAGAUGGACCUAUUUCGAAAUUUUAAUGUAUGCAACAAUCGUCGCAAAUGGUAUUGCUAUGAUAGUAAGGAUAUUGGAGCCGAGUGAUACUACUGUCCACAGUACACUUUUAUUUGCUGCAUCUUGGGAUACUUUCCUUUUUGGGGGAAUAUUUGUUACCGAAGCAUUGAUAAAAGUAUUAGGACUUGGCACAAGGCGAUAUCUUAGUUCUGGAUGGAAUCUUUUUGAUUUAGGCACAUCUGUAAUGACGCUUGUCGCAGCUUGUAUUUUAUGUCUAUUUCCUACGGCAACAUUUUUCGUUUUAUUCAGACCACUUAGAAUGUUAAGAUUAUUUAAAAUGAAAAAGAGAUACCGAGAUGUGUUUGGUACUCUAGUUAUUUUAACUCCUUUAAUGUCUUCUACCGCAGUAGUCAUGCUUGUUUUAUAUUAUUUCUUUGCGAUUAUCGGAAUGGAAUUAUUUGCGGGAUAUAAUAUGCGAAAUUGUUGCAAAAACACAACAGUCGAAGAUUUUUAUAAAUAUUCUGUCAAUGAAAGUACCACACUAGGAUAUUAUUAUCUUAAUACUUUUGACAAUCUUAUAGCCAGUGGUAUGACUCUUUUUGAGUUGACAGUUGUUAAUAAUUGGUUUAUUUUAAUGAAUGCAUACGCAUUCACUGUUGGAAUGUAUACAAGAAUCUAUUUUAUGGUAUUCUAUCUGGUGACAAUGAUUGUGUUAACAAUUGUGGUAUCUAGCUUUUUGGAAGCAUUUCGAUUUAGGAUACAUUAUAAGAAAUCAACAUCUAAACGCGAUGAAGAAAAAAUGCUUCAUGAAGAAGUGGAAUUAAAAUGGGAUGAAUUACAAUGCAUGAUCGAAGAUUUUCAAAUUUUAGAAAAAUUACGACCUUCACUCAUAGUUGGUGGAACUACUGCAUUUAUUGGUUCACGGCCUCGAACGCGAGAAGUAUUGCAAAGAAAAAUGUAUACAAAUGAAAUAAACGAAUGGAUUGCAGAAGCAGUACAAACUGAGAGACAAUUUUUGUCAAAUACUUCUCAUAAUUCGGAAGAAGAUUGCACGGAUGAUAUGAUCUCGGAAUCAAAUCAUCUAGGAGUAACAGAAAACUUGUGACACUCAUCUAAUGUUGUAUAAUAAUAGUAAUAAAUUAAACCUAUUUAACAAAUGUAUAUCCGUGCAACAUGCUGAUUUAAAAGGUUGUAACAUAAACCUAAGUAGUACAAAUUACACGCGGUGAUUCGUUGAUCAAUAAUUUGAUCCAGAAUGAUCAUUACCUCAGGUACAAAAUUUAAUUCUCCUAUCUUUUUCUGGAGACG
Molecule: RNA transcript, 2952 nt
Organism: Osmia bicornis bicornis
Lineage: Eukaryota; Metazoa; Arthropoda; Insecta; Hymenoptera; Megachilidae
Gene: Tpcn1
Gene name: two pore calcium channel protein 1-like
Exons: 13
Source: RefSeq, a predicted model, not a curated record